Molecule: small nucleolar RNA, 137 nt
Organism: Nannospalax galili (Upper Galilee mountains blind mole rat)
Lineage: Eukaryota; Metazoa; Chordata; Mammalia; Rodentia; Spalacidae
Source: Ensembl
UUGGUCCUGAAUCAAGGCCAACAAUUUGUUGAAGCUGUUGGUUUCAAGCAGGUACCUAAAGAAAUGCCUUUCUACAGUCUGUUGGCCAUUUCAGAAAUUUGGAAAUGUAAAGGUCAAUUCAUUAGAAAAAAGCAUGU